CUGAUGUAUCAUGGGCAUCCCAUAAAUAUGUGCAGGAUGAAUUGAUGGAUGGAUGGAUAUCUCAACAAUGGGAAAUGAAGAUGGUAAUCUUCCUCUUGCUUAACCUGCAUCACAACAGAAGUCAAGUAGGACCUAACCUGUGUGAGCAUCUCUCUCUAUGGUAGUCACCAAUUCCCAUGGUGAGAAUAGUAAGUCAAUAUUUUUCUUUCUUUCAACUAAUUUCCACUAGGCAAGACCUUCAUUUUCCAGGAUGAGCUGUGCCUGUUGACAGGUGAAUAGCAUCUAUGGUUCUAAUAAGAAAUAACAGGUAAGUGCCAAUUUAAAGUAGUGAAUGAGACAUACCACACAAAUGUAAUACUAAUUAAUGAAAUGUGCUUCAAUUCUGAUUAGAAUUUAUGUUGCAUGCCAGAAACAAUCCCCAAAACACAUCUCAAAGCCACAAGGAAAUAAGAAAACAAAAUUAUCUAACAGUAAGUUAAGAAUGCUUAGUAUUUUAGUAAGCUUUGGGAUUUCCAUCCAAUAUUGUACCAAGCACGCACACACGUGUCUCAGACACUUCCAGUCCAGGCAAAUGCUGAUUUGAAUGCUUGGACCUAAUUACCAACAGGAAAAUUAUGAAGAAGUCUCCACACAUAAGAUUGAGAGGAAGGCAACCAGGCCACAGUGACAGGCAGGCAUAGGGGGUGCUUAUCUGAGGUAUAAAAAGAAGAGAUUCCAGAAGAAAUUAGUAACUCCCACUGUCUGUGUAAGGAUGUGGUGCUGGGCUCCUGUCUAGAUUCUGUAAGUACUUCUGGGGAGACCACAAAAAUACAAGUGACCAUGAGAAUUGCCUGUCCAUAAAUGUGCUAGGUGAGGAAAGCCUCAUCAGCAUAAGAAACGAUCCCUUGAGAAUCAGAGCACAGGUGCCUGGCCAAGGGCAAAGCUUUGGCCACCUAACUCUUGGGCUCCUUACCAAACUCAGAGAAUAAGCUCUUUGGCAAAUCUCCCCAGUUAAUAAGCUCUCUGAAACAGCAAGAUAAAAAGCACAGCAAACCCAAAGAGAGCUCUUCUCUGAAAGACUGCAGGCUGCCAUCCAGUCUCGACAGAACCCACUCUAAUGCUUACUUAUGACAACAGGGUAAUGCAUGUGAUUUGUGAAGUGCUGGACUUUUGUUUUAAAGAUUAUAUUCUUAAUUACUAUUUAAGGAUGUAGAAUAUCCUUAUGUCAUGGUAUAUACUAUACUAAGUGCAAGUGUAUAUAUUAGUAGGUGGCAUAGGAUUAUAACUACAAAACACUUUAUACACCUAAACACACACACACACUCAAAUCCAUGCAAAACACUACAUGGAUAUACUCCCUUACUAUAACAAUACCAAAAACUGAAUUUAUUUUUAUUCUUCUUGUGAAUCCAUAUGUUGUAUAAGAAAAUAUUUAAAUGGACUUUUUUCAGGAUAUAUCCAGAAUCCAUACAAUCCACCAUUACUUCCACCUGGUCUGACCCUCCAUCAGCAUUCCCCUAGAAGCCAUAUUAACCUACUACAAAUAUGUGGCAUGAUAUGUGUUUGUUAGUCAAUCCUCUCCUAAACAGAUAAUAAAUUCCAUGAGACUAAUGUUCAUAUUUUGUUCAUUGUUCCUCUGAACCUUUAUCAGUAGCUGAUGUAUCAAAGGCAUACCAUAAAUAUGUGCAGGAUGAACUAAUGGAUGGAUGGAUAUCUCAACAAUGGGAAAUGAAGAUGGUAAUCUUCCUCCUGCAUCACAACAAAAGUCAAGUAGGACCUAACCUGUACAAGCACCUCUAUGAUAGUCACCAAUUCGCAUGGUAAGAUCAGCUUCCAGACUUGCCCAGCCUCAGCCCCAUAGUCUAUUCUCUGUAUAGAUGUGAAAAUGACCUUUUAAAUAUUAAAUCAAAUUCCUCUGUUCAAAAUUCCCCAGUGGCUGCACAGCACACUCAUUUCAUAACCUUCCCUAUUACUUGUCACACUUUAUCUCCUGUUACUAUCCUUGUCCUGACUCUUGUCCAACCACACUGGCUUCUUUAGCUGGACCCGAGACUUGCCAAACAUGCUUUCCCCUUUGCACAGACUGAUCCUUCUGGCUAGAACAGUCUUCCUUUAAAUAGCAACAUCUUCAAGUUUUUUGAACUUGAAGCUACUUGAACUGAGAUACAUCCCCAGCCCUUUUUAUUUUUAUUCUUUUGAGACAAGGUCUCCUUAAGUUACACAGGCUGGCCUUGAACUUGCAAUCCCCCUGCUUCUGUCUCCCAGAUCUCUGGAAUUAUAGGCAUGCACCAUGGCCCCUUCAAGUUUUUAAUGUGAAAUGUCACCUUCAGCAAACACUUCUGAAACAAUCCAGCCAUACCUCCAACAUAUCCCUUUCUCCAUUCACAGGCUCCAACAGUCUCCAGUUCUUUCCAGAGCCAUGGUGCAGAGUUGUAGGGGUAAGAUGGACAUAAAAUAAAAUGUGAAAGUACUCCCUGAAUUUGUGUGUACUGUGAAUACCUCAGUUUGUUUUUCUCAAGAGUUGUUAUCACCUAGCAUGUCAUAUUGUUUGUUACUAUUAUCUAUCUCCCCCGAUGAGACUGUCAGCUCACCAAGGGUAGAAAUGUCUAUUGCAUAUUUACUGCUAUAGCCCCAGUUCUUAGAACAAUACCUAGUACAUAGUAUAUACUAAAAAAUGAAUGAUUCACCAAAUAAAAACAAAUGAUUUUUAUUCUCUUCUGUAACUUAUCCCUAUUUUUCCUUUACUUUUAAAGCCAGAAAGAUGUAUAAAAAGGAAAAAAAAAUGUAUGAGAGUGCUCAUUUCCUUGUUCUUAUUCUUAGCCUGGGAAAUAAACUAAAUUUCUUCUGUAUUCAAAGUAAAGAACAACUAAAGAUGAACAUCUGUUUAAACUAUUGUUGAAUAAAAUGCCAAUAAAACAUAUCUAAGCUCUGCAGUUAUUUCCAUGGGUUUUCCCCACUCCCACUGACUUUGGUAUAGUUUCUGAUCAAUCAGGAUAGUGGGAGAUGACCCACUUUCAUAACAUCUGAAGCUAUUCAAUUUUUCUAUGAUACAAUUCCAUCAUGGGCCAAGUAGAAUGGUCCAGCAGAGAGAUGCUCUCACUUUCUCUCAAAAGGUUAUCCUUUUGGCUUUCUUUUGAGAUAGUGUUUCCUAGACAGGUGAAAAAUUGAAGCUUAUCUCUAAGGGCAAAGCUAUGUGAUGAAAACUUUUUCUCCCUUACCAAUCCUCC
RNAcentral lists this long non-coding RNA (3206 nucleotides) under Marmota monax (woodchuck). Lineage: Eukaryota; Metazoa; Chordata; Mammalia; Rodentia; Sciuridae. The record is from RNAcentral.